Dermacentor andersoni is the source of this 191-nucleotide non-coding RNA. Lineage: Eukaryota; Metazoa; Arthropoda; Arachnida; Ixodida; Ixodidae. The record is from RefSeq and is a predicted model, not a curated record.
UCGACAGUGUUCGCGCCGGAAAGAGCGUCGUCGUGUGGUGCCUGCGAGACGAAGCCGUUUGCCGACCACAUUGAAGGUGCCUUGUGAGCUCUCACCCAAGCACCACAUUCCAGAGGUCUGCUGUGAGCAGACGUGGCAAAUUGAAGUAACAUCCAGAUAGUCCAAUAAACUGUUCGUAGUUUCAGACAAAC